CAGCAGCCGCGGGAAUACAGAGGGUGCGAGCGUUAAUCGGAUUUACUGGGCGUAAAGCGUGCGUAGGCGGCUUUUUAAGUCGGAUGUGAAAUCCCUGAGCUUAACUUAGGAAUUGCAUUCGAUACUGGGAAGCUAGAGUAUGGGAGAGGAUGGUAGAAUUCCAGGUGUAGCGGUGAAAUGCGUAGAGAUCUGGAGGAAUACCGAUGGCGAAGGCAGCCAUCUGGCCUAAUACUGACGCUGAGGUACGAAAGCAUGGGGAGCAAACAGGAUUAGAUACCCCUGUAGUCCCUGUAUCUUAUAC
This 301-nucleotide ribosomal RNA is filed under the name uncultured bacterium. RNAcentral describes it as "partial 16S ribosomal RNA". It matches the Rfam family "Bacterial small subunit ribosomal RNA", at positions 509 to 807 of the family's 1533-position model. The record is from RNAcentral.